GCCGACAUAGCUCAACCUGGUAGAGUGCCCGCCUCCAAAGCGGGAUGUUGGGGGUUCGACUCCCUCUGUCGGUG
RNAcentral lists this transfer RNA (74 nucleotides) under Acidithiobacillus ferrooxidans ATCC 23270. It matches the Rfam family "tRNA". Rfam says of the family: Transfer RNA (tRNA) molecules are approximately 80 nucleotides in length. Lineage: Bacteria; Pseudomonadati; Pseudomonadota; Acidithiobacillia; Acidithiobacillales; Acidithiobacillaceae. The record is from Rfam by way of RNAcentral.